GAUGAACGCUAGCUACAGGCUUAACACAUGCAAGUCGAGGGGCAUCAGGAAGAAAGCUUGCUUUCUUUGCUGGCGACCGGCGCACGGGUGAGUAACACGUAUCCAACCUGCCCUUUACUCGGGGAUAGCCUUUCGAAAGAAAGAUUAAUACCCGAUGGCAUAAUGAUUCCGCAUGGUUUCAUUAUUAAAGGAUUCCGGUAAAGGAUGGGGAUGCGUUCCAUUAGGUUGUUGGUGAGGUAACGGCUCACCAAGCCUUCGAUGGAUAGGGGUUCUGAGAGGAAGGUCCCCCACAUUGGAACUGAGACACGGUCCAAACUCCUACGGGAGGCAGCAGUGAGGAAUAUUGGUCAAUGGGCGCUAGCCUGAACCAGCCAAGUAGCGUGAAGGAUGAAGGCUCUAUGGGUCGUAAACUUCUUUUAUAUAAGAAUAAAGUGCAGUAUGUAUACUGUUUUGUAUGUAUUAUAUGAAUAAGGAUCGGCUAACUCCGUGCCAGCAGCCGCGGUAAUACGGAGGAUCCGAGCGUUAUCCGGAUUUAUUGGGUUUAAAGGGAGCGUAGGUGGACUGGUAAGUCAGUUGUGAAAGUUUGCGGCUCAACCGUAAAAUUGCAGUUGAUACUGUCAGUCUUGAGUACAGUAGAGGUGGGCGGAAUUCGUGGUGUAGCGGUGAAAUGCUUAGAUAUCACGAAGAACUCCGAUUGCGAAGGCAGCUCACUGGACUGCAACUGACACUGAUGCUCGAAAGUGUGGGUAUCAAACAGGAUUAGAUACCCUGGUAGUCCACACAGUAAACGAUGAAUACUCGCUGUUUGCGAUAUACAGUAAGCGGCCAAGCGAAAGCAUUAAGUGUUCCACCUGGGGAGUACGCCGGCAACGGUGAAACUCAAAGGAAUUGACGGGGGCCCGCACAAGCGGAGGAACAUGUGGUUUAAUUCGAUGAUACGCGAGGAACCUUACCCGGGCUUAAAUUGCAGUGGAAUGAUGUGGAAACAUGUCAGUGAGCAAUCACCGCUGUGAAGGUGCUGCAUGGUUGUCGUCAGCUCGUGCCGUGAGGUGUCGGCUUAAGUGCCAUAACGAGCGCAACCCUUAUCUUCAGUUACUAACAGGUCGUGCUGAGGACUCUGGAGAGACUGCCGUCGUAAGAUGUGAGGAAGGUGGGGAUGACGUCAAAUCAGCACGGCCCUUACGUCCGGGGCUACACACGUGUUACAAUGGGGGGUACAGAAGGCAGCUAGCGGGUGACCGUAUGCUAAUCCCAAAAUCCUCUCUCAGUUCGGAUCGAAGUCUGCAACCCGACUUCGUGAAGCUGGAUUCGCUAGUAAUCGCGCAUCAGCCACGGCGCGGUGAAUACGUUCCCGGGCCU
RNAcentral lists this ribosomal RNA (1359 nucleotides) under uncultured bacterium. RNAcentral describes it as "bacterial SSU rRNA". It matches the Rfam family "Bacterial small subunit ribosomal RNA", at positions 28 to 1381 of the family's 1533-position model. The record is from RNAcentral.